AGAAUCAACGCUGGCGGCGUGCCUAACACAUGCAAGUUGAGCGCUUAAGGGGGCAACCCCCAAGAGAGCAGCGAACGGGUGAGUAACGCGUGGGUGAUCUUCCUUCGAGUGGGAACAACAUCGGGAAACUGGUGCUAAUUCCGCAUAAUACCCUGAGGCUACGAGCCUUAGGAUCAAAGCCGGGGACCGUAAGGCCUGGCGCUUGAAGAUGAGCCCGCGUCCGAUUAGCUAGUUGGCGGGUAAUGGCCCACCAAGGCUUCGAUCGGUA
Molecule: ribosomal RNA, 268 nt
Filed under: uncultured soil bacterium
Lineage: Bacteria
Description: partial 16S ribosomal RNA
Rfam family: Bacterial small subunit ribosomal RNA
Source: RNAcentral